UACGUAGGGUGCGAGCGUUAAUCGGAAUUACUGGGCGUAAAGCGUGCGCAGGCGGUUUUGUAAGCCAGAUGUGAAAUCCCCGGGCUUAACCUGGGAAUGGCAUUUGGGACUGCAAGGCUUGAGUGCGGCAGAGGAGACUGGAAUUCCUGGUGUAGCAGUGAAAUGCGUAGAUAUCAGGAGGAAUACCGAUGGCGAAGGCAGGUCUCUGGGCUGACACUGACGCUGAGGCGCGAAAGCUAGGGGAGCGAACGGG
RNAcentral lists this ribosomal RNA (253 nucleotides) under uncultured bacterium. Its description in RNAcentral is "partial 16S ribosomal RNA". It matches the Rfam family "Bacterial small subunit ribosomal RNA", at positions 524 to 776 of the family's 1533-position model. The record is from RNAcentral.